AGAGUUUGAUCCUGGCUCAGAAUCAACGCUGGCGGCGUGCCUCAGACAUGCAAGUCGAACGCGAAAGCCUCCUUCGGGGGGCAAGUAGAGUGGCGCACGGGUGAGUAACACGUAGGUAAUCUACCUUUGGAUGGGGAAUAACAACCGGAAACGGUUGCUAAUACCGCAUAAUGCAGCGGCACCUAAUGGUGACAGUUGUUAAAGCGGGGGAUCGCAAGACCUCGCGUCUGAAGAGGAGCCUGCGGCGGAUUAGCUAGUUGGUAGGGUAACGGCUUACCAAGGCGAUGAUCCGUAGCCGGCCUGAGAGGGCGGUCGGCCACACUGACACUGACAUACGGGUCAGACUCCUACGGGAGGCAGCAGUCGGGAAUUUUGGGCAAUGGGCGAAAGCCUGACCCAGCAACGCCGCGUGAAGGAUGAAAUCCUUCGGGAUGUAAACUUCGCAAGAACGGGAAGAAUAAGUCUGCGCAAAUAUCGCAGAUGAUGACGGUACCGUUUGUAAGCUCCGGCUAACUCCGUGCCAGCAGCCGCGGUAAUACGGGGGGAGCAAGCGUUGUUCGGAUUUACUGGGCGUAAAGGGCGCGUAGGCGGCCACCGCAAGUCGACUGUGAAAUCUCCGGGCUUAACCCGGAACGGUCAGCCGAUACUGCGGGGCUAGAGUGCAGAAGGGGCAACUGGAAUUCUCGGUGUAGCGGUGAAAUGCGUAGAUAUCGAGAGGAACACCUGCGGCGAAGGCGGGUUGCUGGGCUGACACUGACGCUGAGGCGCGAAAGCUAGGGGAGCGAACGGGAUUAGAUACCCCCGUAGUCC
RNAcentral lists this ribosomal RNA (810 nucleotides) under uncultured Acidobacteriota bacterium. Its description in RNAcentral is "bacterial SSU rRNA". It matches the Rfam family "Bacterial small subunit ribosomal RNA", at positions 8 to 796 of the family's 1533-position model. The record is from RNAcentral. Lineage: Bacteria; Pseudomonadati; Acidobacteriota.